GAGAAUUUAGUAAAAUUAUUUAUAAUAUCACUUUGUCAAAGUGAAGUCAAAGGUGAAAACCCUUUAAUUCUUA
This 73-nucleotide transfer RNA is filed under the name Hylomys suillus maxi. Its description in RNAcentral is "tRNA-Asp". It matches the Rfam family "tRNA". From Rfam's summary of the family: Transfer RNA (tRNA) molecules are approximately 80 nucleotides in length. The record is from RNAcentral. Lineage: Eukaryota; Metazoa; Chordata; Mammalia; Eulipotyphla; Erinaceidae.